CCUGGCUCAGAAUGAACGCUGGCGGCAUGGAUUAGGCAUGCAAGUCGAACGGUGAAGCGGGACUUGUCCCGUGGAUCAGUGGCGAAAGGGUGAGUAACACGUGAGCAACCUGCCCCUGUAUCAGGAAUAGCCUCUGGAAACGGAGUUUAAUACCUGAUGUGGAUUGGAAUCGCAUGAUUCUUUAUCUAAAGAUUUAUCGUACAGGGAUGGGCUCGCGUCCCAUUAGCUUGUUGGUGAGGUAACGGCUCACCAAGGCUUUGACGGGUAGGUGGUCUGAGAGGAUGGUCACCCACACUGGGACUGAGACACUGCCCAGACUCCUACGGGAGGCUGCAGUCGAGAAUCUUCCGCAAUGGGCGAAAGCCUGACGGAGCAAUGCCGCGUGAGGGAUGAAGGUCUUCGGAUUGUAAACCUCUGUCAGAGGGGACGAAAUUUGACGGUACCCUCAGAGGAAGCCACGGCUAACUACGUGCCAGCAGCCGCGGUAAUACGUAGAUGGCGAGCGUUAUUCGGAUUUACUGGGCGUAAAGGGUCCGCAGGGGGUUUGCCAAGUCUGAUGUGAAAUCCCGCAGCUCAACUGCGGAACUGCAUUGGAAACUGGCGGACUUGAGUAUGCGAGGGGUGAGCGGAAUUUCAGGUGUAGCGGUGGAAUGCGUAGAUAUCUGAAAGAACACCGAUGGCGAAGGCGGCUCACUGGCGCAAUACUGACCCUCAUGGACGAAAGCGUGGGUAGCGAACAGGAUUAGAUACCCUGGUAGUCCACGCCGUAAACGUUGUAUACUAGAUGUGGGGAGGCCUGGUCCUCUCCGUGUCCAAGCUAACGCGAUAAGUAUACCGCCUGGGGACUACGGCCGCAAGGCUAAAACUCAAAGGAAUUGACGGGGGCCCGCACAAGCGGUGGAGCAUGUGGCUUAAUUCGAGGCAACGCGAAGAACCUUACCCGGAUUUGACAUAUUUAGGAUCGUCCCCGAAACGGGACUUCGCUUCGGGGCAUAUAUACAGGUGCUGCAUGGCUGUCGUCAGCUCGUGUCGUGAGGUGUUCGGUUAAGUCCGGCAACGAGCGCAACCCACGCCACUAGUUGCCAGCGCGUAAUGGCGGGGACUCUGGCGAGACUGCCCGUGCUAAGCGGGAGGAAGGCGUGGACGACGUCAAGUCCGUAUGGCUCUUACAUCCAGGGCUGCACACGUGCUACAAUGGUCGGUACAGUGGGAUGCCACUCCGCGAGGAGGAGCGAAUCUCUAAAACCGGCCCCAGUUCGGAUCGUAGUCUGCAACUCGACUACGUGAAGUCGGAAUCGCUAGUAAAGGUGUAUCAGCAACGACACCUUGAAUACGUUCCCGGGCCUUGUACACACCGCCCG
Molecule: ribosomal RNA, 1361 nt
Filed under: uncultured prokaryote
Description: partial 16S ribosomal RNA
Rfam family: Bacterial small subunit ribosomal RNA
Source: RNAcentral